RNAcentral lists this ribosomal RNA (408 nucleotides) under uncultured soil bacterium. Its description in RNAcentral is "bacterial SSU rRNA". It matches the Rfam family "Bacterial small subunit ribosomal RNA", at positions 26 to 432 of the family's 1533-position model. The record is from RNAcentral.
AGAUUGAACGCUGGCGGCAUGCCUAACACAUGCAAGUCGAACGGCAGCACAGCCCGCAAGGGUGGGUGGCGAGUGGCGGACGGGUGAGGAAUACAUAGGAAUCUAACCCUGUCGUGGGGGAUAACGUAGGGAAACUUACGCUAAUACCGCAUACGACCGAGAGGUGAAAGCGGCGGACCGCAAGGCGUCGCGCGGCUGGAUGAGCCUAUGUCCGAUUAGCUAGUUGGCGGGGUAAUGGCCCACCAAGGCGACGAUCGGUAGCUGGUCUGAGAGGAUGAUCAGCCACGACUGGAACUGAGACACGGUCAGACUCCGACGGGAGCAGCAGUGGGAAUAGUGGACAAGUGGGCGCAAGCCUGAAUCCGAGUCAAUGGCCGCGUGGGUGAAGACGGCCUUGGUUAGUAAACG